GCACGAGGAACGCUGAAUUCCGCCGACGGCGGGAGCGGGGGACCCACAGGACGUUCCCCUCGUGCGAGGGGCAGGGUGAAUCCUGGAAGCCCAGGACGGGUUACUUUUUCAACCCGAACCCGGUAGCUAACCCCGUAAGCGUGGAAAGAGCGUGCGG
Molecule: small RNA, 157 nt
Filed under: Limnochorda pilosa
Lineage: Bacteria; Bacillati; Bacillota; Limnochordia; Limnochordales; Limnochordaceae
Description: c-di-AMP sequence
Rfam family: c-di-AMP riboswitch aptamer (ydaO/yuaA leader)
About the family: This family represents a conserved RNA structure found upstream of the ydaO and yuaA genes in Bacillus subtilis and related genes in other bacteria.
Source: Rfam by way of RNAcentral